UACAGAGGGGGCAAGCGUUAUUCGGAAUUAUUGGGCGUAAAGGGCGCGUAGGCGGCUUUGCAAGUGACGGGUGAAAGCCCUCGGCUUAACCGAGGAACUGCCUGUCAGACUGUAAGGCUUGAGACCGGGAGAGGUGAGUGGAAUUCCCAGUGUAGCGGUGAAAUGCGUAGAUAUUGGGAGGAACACCGGUGGCGAAGGCGGAUCUCUGGGCCGUAACUGACGCUGAGGAGCGAAAGCAUGGGGAGCGAACAGG
RNAcentral lists this ribosomal RNA (253 nucleotides) under uncultured bacterium. RNAcentral's name for it is "partial 16S ribosomal RNA". It matches the Rfam family "Bacterial small subunit ribosomal RNA", at positions 524 to 776 of the family's 1533-position model. The record is from RNAcentral.